RNAcentral lists this long non-coding RNA (923 nucleotides) under Mytilus galloprovincialis (Mediterranean mussel). The record is from RNAcentral. Lineage: Eukaryota; Metazoa; Mollusca; Bivalvia; Mytilida; Mytilidae.
AAGUGAAUAAAACAUUAUCAAUGUUUCUUUGCUUAUCUUGACAAAAUUAACCCAUACUGGCUGCUAAUAAAGAAUUAUUAUUUCACUAUUUCACUUUUUAUAUACAUGUAUCUCAUAGAUAGUGCCCCAUUAAAGUACUUACACAUGCUUUUUAGAUUAUCUGGUUUAAUAGGAAGUAAGAUUUUAAAUAUGAGGCUAAACAUUCUUAGAAUUUGCAGUUAAUGAUUGCAUUGUUAUUGUUGAAUUUUUUGCUUAAAAAAAAAAUGACAUGGAUAUACACUGUUAAAUUUAAUUUUCUUCAAAACAACAUCGCUGAAUUUUAAGUUUUUAACUUUUCUUAUUGUUUCUUUCAGUCCAUAAUUUAAGUGUUGCAUUUUCUGAAUUCUAGAGAUAGGUUCAUAAGGUAUAAAAUAUUAUAACUUAUGUUAUUUGGUCUCAAAUUCAUCGAGUAAUAUUUGAAGCAUAUUAACAAGAUUGGUCAAUGUAAAAAUACAAGAGUAAAAAAAAACAAGAAUUCAAUACAUCUAAAAAAAAUCUAUGUCGAUGAGAGUAAAUUUUUAUAGUAUAUUUGUUUGAAAUCAGUAUGUCAUAUUUUAAAAAACUUUACAAGUGCUUGUUUAUUUACACAGGGAUUAAAUGUCUGCCUUUAAGACUUAGUUUCUUUUUUAUUCAAAUUGAAAUUGUGUAGUCAUUGUAAAAAAGGGGAGACAAUCACAAACAAAAAGAGGCAACACAAAAAAAAAAACACUAUAUAAUUAGGUUUAGAAGCAUUUAUCAGAUUCAGCUGUUUAUACCUUAUCUUCAGUCUUGUAUGGAUGACUACCAUUUCACAUGACAUGAUAUAUGUCAUGGCAGUCAGCAGUGUUUAAGAACAUCUUUUGUUAGACCUGCUAGUCAAAUGCAUUUUGUUAAAAUAUUCUUUU